This 659-nucleotide long non-coding RNA is filed under the name Helianthus annuus (common sunflower). RNAcentral describes it as "hypothetical non coding rna". Lineage: Eukaryota; Viridiplantae; Streptophyta; Magnoliopsida; Asterales; Asteraceae. The record is from RNAcentral.
CUCUCGCUCUCUCAACCGUCAAUCAUCUUCUCUACUGAAUAUCCAUGAGUCAGUGGUGCUACCUUGAAAACAGGUUGAUAGUUUUUUUUUUUACAUGUUAAUUCAGUUGAGUUAUUUAUUGUGAUUGGUUUUGAGUUUCGUGACUUAAAAUUCGAAAUUAAAGCAUGAUUAUCCGAAAUUCAAAAAGGAUGUUUUGAUUUCAAUUCCAAAAUUUCAGUAGUAUUAAAUUAUAUAUAUAGUAUAUUGAUAAUUGUGAUUACCUCAUGUUUGCUCGCUCCUUGUAGAUUAUCCAUCAUGAAUUCAUGAUAAUGUUCUUAUACUAUUUAUUUUGUUAUGGUUUAUGGACCACAAAGCAUAUCUCAUCAUCGGUGUAUAAGUUAUUACUGAAACCUAAAUAAAAAAACAUUUUUAACCGUUUGCACAUUGGUGUUUAACAUUUGCAUUUGUUUGUGCAGGAACAUGGAAAUGGAAGUUAAUCUUAUUAGAGACAUCAUUCCAUGACAAAUCCUCUAUGAAAAUGGGAAGCAUCAUUCACGGAAACAUGAAAGCUGCACUUUAGUUCUUUUUCUUUAUUAAUUUAUUUUUCCAUCAUGUCUAUAGUAAACCUUGUUGGGACAUGUAGUGUGAAUUUGUAAAUUUAUAUAGGUCAAAAUUCUCUU